GAUGAACGCUAGCGGGAGGCCUAACACAUGCAAGCCGAGCGGUAUUGUUUCUUCGGAAAUGAGAGAGCGGCGUACGGGUGCGUAACACGUGUGCAACCUGCCUUUAUCUGGGGGAUAGCCUUUCGAAAGGAAGAUUAAUACUCCAUAAUAUAUUGAACGGCUUCGUUUAAUAUUGAAAGCUCCGGCGGAUAGAGAUGGGCACGCGCAAGAUUAGCUAGUUGGUGAGGUAACGGCUCACCAAGGCGAUGAUCUUUAGGGGGCCUGAGAGGGUGAUCCCCCACACUGGUACUGAGACACGGACCAGACUCCUACGGGAGGCAGCAGUGAGGAAUAUUGGUCAAUGGGUGCAAGCCUGAACCAGCCAUCCCGCGUGAAGGACGACUGCCCUAUGGGUUGUAAACUUCUUUUGUAUAGGGAUAAACCUACCCUCGAGAGGGUAGCUGAAGGUACUAUACGAAUAAGCACCGGCUAACUCCGUG
Molecule: ribosomal RNA, 479 nt
Filed under: uncultured bacterium
Lineage: Bacteria
Description: partial 16S ribosomal RNA
Rfam family: Bacterial small subunit ribosomal RNA
Source: RNAcentral